Molecule: non-coding RNA, 700 nt
Organism: Misgurnus anguillicaudatus (oriental weatherfish)
Lineage: Eukaryota; Metazoa; Chordata; Actinopteri; Cypriniformes; Cobitidae
Source: the annotation of a RefSeq genome assembly
UGCUCUUAAAACUUCACUUGUGAUCUGUGUGUAUUCAGCCGUGCAAGAACCGACAAAAAACAAUGUCUCUUAUUCUGAUGCUUGGAACUCUGGGUCUGCUUGCUCAAGUUUCUCAUCAGGAGGUUCAGUCUCCUGAAUCUCUGUCAGUUAAAGUUGGAGAUUCUGCCUCUAUUAGUUGUACUGGGACCAGUGGAGUUGAUGAUGACAUGAGCUGGUAUCUACAGAAACCUGGAGAAGCUCCUAAACUCCUCAUCUACAAAGCAAAUCAACUUCAAUCUGGAGUACCAGAUCGGUUCAGUGGAAGUCAAUCUGAACUCAUAUUUACACUGAACAUACGUAGAGUUCAGUCUGAGGAUGCAGGAGAUUAUUACUGUAUGGGGGUUUAUAAUUCGCCAUACAGGUGCACACAGUGAAAUAGAGUCAUACAAAAACCUUCCUCAGUCAGACAGCACAGAGAAGAGAAGCUCACAACAUUAGACUGUUGAGAAAGAUCAUUGUUCUUAAAUAAACUUGUCUUGUGGAUGUAUUAUUCACUUGUCAGUAUACAGUAUAAAAACUAUUUUACAUUACAAUUAUAAUUCAUAUACAGUACUUAGUAAUACCCCCUCUGAGAAAAUAAAUUCCUUCACCUCUAUUGUCUUUUUUAAAAAGUUUUUAGCCACACUUAUUUAUAUAUUAGCAAAUAGUAAAUAUAUUUUAA